Molecule: small nucleolar RNA, 134 nt
Organism: Echinops telfairi (small Madagascar hedgehog)
Lineage: Eukaryota; Metazoa; Chordata; Mammalia; Afrosoricida; Tenrecidae
Source: Ensembl
GCAUGGGUUUGGAUUUAUGGCAGACCUGUCCCCAGGAGCCUUUCAUAGUGUCUUAUGCCAGAGCGAACUGUAGCUCCAAACUAUUGCCUGGCCUUGCCUCAUGGGCUUCAGGCACUGAAACAGGUUGCACAGUG